CCUGUACACCAACACCCACACCAACAUCCACACCAACACCUGCACACUAACACCUGCACACCAAUAUCCACACCAACACCUGCACACCAACGUCCACACCAACACCUGCACACCAACACCUGCACACCAACGUCCACACCAGCACCUGCACACCAACGUCCACACCAACACCUGCACACCAACAUCCACACCAACACCUGCACACCAAUAUCCACACCAACACCUGCACACCAAUGUCCACACCAACACCUGCACACCAAUAUCCACACCAACACCUGCACACCAACGUCCACACCAACACCUGCACACCAACACCUGCACACCAACGUCCACACCAACACCUGCACACCAACGUCCACACCAACACCUGCACACCAACGUCCACACCAACACCUGCACACCAAUAUCCACACCAACACCUGC
This 423-nucleotide long non-coding RNA is filed under the name Pan troglodytes (chimpanzee). Its description in RNAcentral is "long non-coding RNA NONPTRT008332". The record is from RNAcentral. Lineage: Eukaryota; Metazoa; Chordata; Mammalia; Primates; Hominidae.